RNAcentral lists this ribosomal RNA (635 nucleotides) under uncultured Comamonas sp. Its description in RNAcentral is "bacterial SSU rRNA". It matches the Rfam family "Bacterial small subunit ribosomal RNA", at positions 897 to 1533 of the family's 1533-position model. The record is from RNAcentral. Lineage: Bacteria; Pseudomonadati; Pseudomonadota; Betaproteobacteria; Burkholderiales; Comamonadaceae.
AAACUUAAAUGAAUUUGACGGGGACCCGCACAAGCGGUGGAUGAUGUGGUUUAAUUCGAUGCAACGCGAAAAACCUUACCCACCUUUGACAUGUACGGAACCUUUAGAGAUAGAGGGGUGCUCGAAAGAGAACCGUAACACAGGUGCUGCAUGGCUGUCGUCAGCUCGUGUCGUGAGAUGUUGGGUUAAGUCCCGCAACGAGCGCAACCCUUGCCAUUAGUUGCUACGAAAGGGCACUCUAAUGGGACUGCCGGUGACAAACCGGAGGAAGGUGGGGAUGACGUCAAGUCCUCAUGGCCCUUAUAGGUGGGGCUACACACGUCAUACAAUGGCCGGUACAAAGGGCAGCCAACCCGCGAGGGGGAGCCAAUCCCAUAAAGCCGGUCGUAGUCCGGAUCGCAGUCUGCAACUCGACUGCGUGAAGUCGGAAUCGCUAGUAAUCGUGGAUCAGCAUGUCACGGUGAAUACGUUCCCGGGUCUUGUACACACCGCCCGUCACACCAUGGGAGCGGGUUCUGCCAGAAGUAGGUAGCCUAACCGUAAGGAGGGCGCUUACCACGGCAGGGUUCGUGACUGGGGUGAAGUCGUAACAAGGUAGCCGUAUCGGAAGGUGCGGCUGGAUCACCUCCUUUAUG